Molecule: long non-coding RNA, 2872 nt
Organism: Xiphophorus hellerii (green swordtail)
Lineage: Eukaryota; Metazoa; Chordata; Actinopteri; Cyprinodontiformes; Poeciliidae
Exons: 2
Source: RefSeq, a predicted model, not a curated record
UGUUAGCCUCUCAGUCAGAUCAGACCAAACUGAAGCUUAAAGCUAACUGUUAGCCUCUCAGGUAGAUAAUAUGAUCAGCAGCUUCCAGACAUUUGGAAUCGAUUCUCAUCUCAGAGGUGCUGAGGAAAGUUUUCACACCCCUGCAGAUUUAUUCAGUUGCUACUUUUUUGUCACAUUUAAAUGUUUAAGAUCAAAAAAUGUUGAUAUGAAACAAAAAUCUGUAAAGAGGGAAAAAAAAUCCCUGUAUGCUGCGUGGAGUUCAUCUGUAAAGUACUGAUCAAUCUAAAACUAGUUGUGAGAGAAAUUAAUCGAUUGUAAAGCUGAGGAGUUUCAGGUCAGCGGUGAAAGAAGCGAGUUCGGUUAACCAGACGGAGAUCUUCCUCUCACUUUCACACACAAACCAUCACCUGAAAUCUGGGUCAGACGGAGGAGGAGGAGCAGCAGAAUGACGAAGAGGAGGCUCAGACAGCCUCUCUCUCUGCUGGUUCCAGUUUCUCUACUGGGACCAAACUGGUUGAAAUCUAAAACUUUACAGCUGAUUUUAGACUUUUUCUGCUGCAGGCUGAGGAACCCUGACUCAGGUUGUGUCUGAGAUGAAACCGACACUUUUAUGGAGUUUCAUAUAAAAAUAAAUGAAAUGUUAAAAAAAGGUUGUUCGUCUGUCGCUGCAGGAAAACUUCAUUCUGAACAUUUUCCAUAAACUCAAACUUUACUCCACAUGAAGGAAUAAUUAUUGCUCAUCUUUUUCUUUCUUCCAUAAAACACAAAAUCUUACCAAGUUUUUAACUAGUUUUUCCUGCAAAUAUCACAUUCCACUGAAAUAAGACAAAACUGACUCAUAAGUAACUUUUCAGGAGCAAAGUGGAGCUUGUUUUGUUUUUGUCCAGUAAUUCCUGGACGUUCUGGUUCCACUGACAGAUUUUAUAAUAAAACAUUUUUCAAUGCUAAAAGUGAAAAUCUGUCAGUUUUGUCAUCAAUAUUAAGCAACUGACUCAAAGCGAGUUCUUGUCUUUGCUGAAAAGUUGUUUUUCGGUUAAUUUAGUUUUAUUUUUAUUGCACUGAGAUGUGUGCAGCAGAAACUGUUUGGUUGUAUUUGGAUGUUUUCAGUGUUCAGGUCGGAGGUCGGAGGAUCCGCUGGAUCUUUGUUUUCAGAUUUAAGGUGCUCGCUCAUUCAGUCCCACAGCACCAUGCUGCCUCUGCCGUGCCUCCCAGUGGAGUUGGGUUCUUCAGUAGACGUUCCUCUGGGCUCCAGCUGAACUCCUUCCUGUGUCAUGGAGACUCGAUGACCUCACUUCCUUUCUGCAGUGCAGAUGCAGAGGGAGUUGAUUACAGACUCAGAGGGAUCAGACCAUCGUAAACUGGAGAAACCACAAGACAAAACAAACUGGGAGAGCUGGGAGACUGAAACCAGUAAACUGUCAGAGUAAAUCUGCGCUUCUUCUUCCUUAAAGUUUUCUGGUUUGUGUGUCAGAACAUUUCUGUUUGUUGAGUUGAUGUUUUGAAGCUGAAGUGAUGAAAUGAUUUUCUCCUCUGAUCUGAUUCUAAACUUUGACUCGUUUCUCUUCACCUGCUCACUUCCUGCGGCUUUGCUGCUCGCAUAAAGCUGACUCACUUCCUGUCGCUGCGCUUCACAAACCGCUGCGUUUGUAGUGCAUGUGCUGCAGGCUGAGUGUGUGUGUGUGUGUGUGUGAGUGUGUGUGUUUCAGCUGGGAGAUGAAUAUCUGGGUUUCAUCCAUCUGAUCCAUUCUCUGGUUUGCAAACUGCAGUGCGGCAGCUGAUUGGCUGCUGGUUUCCAUGGCGCUGGCUCUCAGUCCUGUCUUCAUCCACUGAACAAAAGAUUUUUAUAAAACAUAAAGUCUUGAAUACAAAUAUUUAAAUCCUAAUUAUCAUAAAAUAAGCAGAUUCAUUGAAAACUCAUCACAAAUAAAUAAUAACAAUAAGAUGGCUGCUGUUGUAAUUACUUUUUCACAAAGAGUUAAUUCAUCUUUAAUCAGGUUAACUUUUAUAUUAAUAUCUGUUUGUUGUUGUGGAACAUUUAAAUGUCAUUAAAAAGUAAAAACUUCCCCACUGCAUGUUUCUAUAUUUAUUCAUCUUCAGAUUUCUGCAUUCAGUUUCCCUGAAUGUCAGCAGAAAACUAAAACAAUAAACAUUUCAGAGAAGAAAUCAAACAUAAAAACACUUAAAGACAAAGUUUUUAAAAACCAGCAGAAAGAGAAGAAAUUAGAUUUUAUUUUUCUGUUUGGUGUUAAAGAGAAAAUCACAGUCGGGUCGAAUCGGGCCCGGCGGUUCCUGUUCUGAGAGAAACGUCACUUUUUAGAUAAAUAGCCCUUUUCAGAUCUAAUUAUUUCUAAUGAUUAGAAGUGAUUACAGCGACAAAGACGCCAUCGGGUGUGUGAAGUGGGUUUUAUUAAAGCCGCUAGAAAAACCUUCACCAGAAACUCAGAAAUUUUGAGAUUAAUUUCAGAAAUUUUUUAGAGAAAACAUGGAAUUUUUUUGCGUUAGAAAAGUCUUAAAUAUUUGACUUUACUCAGAAAACCUUUAUGUUUUUUCUAGAAAAUUUCUGUCCCGACUCGCCGUUGUAUCUUUGAGUUGCUCUCCCUUUAAAUCCGACUCGUCUUUCUCUCACAGAAGUUGCUUGUUUGUAGUUUCACAUCGGCCCUGAAAAUGAUGGGAAUCGCCAUGGCAACCAUCAGGGGGAGAACUUGCACCUUUUUGAAAAAUGUUGGGAUUCACCUGUCAACCCCUGAUCCUGCUGGAGUAAAGAAUCCCCCAGCAUGAUGCUGCCACCACCAGCAUCAUGGUGGCAUCAUCCUGACUUCCUGAUGUUAUCAUCCAAUAAAAACAAUGAAAGUGAAAUAAAAAAGUUAAAUGA